Nomia melanderi (Alkali bee) is the source of this 5189-nucleotide non-coding RNA. NCBI's taxonomy places the organism in Eukaryota, Metazoa, Arthropoda, Insecta, Hymenoptera, Halictidae. The record is from RefSeq and is a predicted model, not a curated record.
GCGGUGUUUAUUGUUCUUGCAAAACAAAGCCUCAUCAACCAGUCGUCAAAUAUUUCCAAAGACGUGUAUUGAGCGAUACACCAUUUGAAUCUUCAAUUAUAGUUGCGUCACGGAAAAUUAAUUGCCAUUUGGAGAACCGGAAGAAAUCUGUAAAGUGAAUACCCGUAUCACAAGGAUCACGUGACUGUUGAUUUCAGUGGAUAAAUUAUCGCAACAGAUAGAACUUUUUAAACUAACAAUCAUUUUUAUCCUCGAUUCGAUGAAUCAAAAUUCAAGACUUAUCGCGUUGCGUGAUAAGACGGAGAAAAAUUAGAAAGAUUUUCGAGUAUUAUUCGAACGUACAUUAGCGGAAAGGUAUGUAUUUGCAUAUCGUACUAUAAAAAAUAGUUUCGGCAUUACCGGUUAGUUGAUAAGUGAUCAGCCUAGAGCUUAAAGUAGUCAGUGACAGCUACAUUAACAAGCGUUCUUGAUAACCCGAACGGAAGAGAAACACAGGAAGUAGAAAAAAGUAGGCAAAAUUAAUUAACCCUUUGCACGGUUGUUUACAAAAUAUCCGGUUCCUGACAGGCCUUCGGAGCCAACGAGUUCAGACGAACAGGCGACGCUGCGCGCGCAUUAAUAACACGCUGCCGACAGUGCCGUACAUUCUUUAAUUUUAUAGUGUAUUGUCUAAAAAAAAUCUUGCAAUAAACUAUUAAAGGUAAUGACUGUAACAUACAUAACGGAGUUUAGACAUUAACGAUAUACUAUAAAAGUAAUUGUAUUUCUAUGAAAUCGUACGAGUAAUUUAUAAUUUUGUUCCUUUAUGAUCCUACCGCUAUAAAAAAAUACUACUAUGUAAAAGCUAGAUAAAUUCAUUGUAAGCAUUUCGUUACUGAUGCACGUAUGCGUAUCAAGAUGAAAACUGCUUUCAAAUUUUUUUAUAUCAAACGAUACAAUUUACUAAAAAAAGAUGUAUAAUUUCGAAGCUAUCGUUAAACGGUUGCUUCUGAAAAAUAUUUCUUUUCCACACUACGUGCACAUUGCAAGUUACGCGUGAUGCAGAAAUGGAAAAAAAUUGUCGUGUGUACAGUGGGGAGAAGGUUAUCCUAUACGAGGUUGAGAGCGUGAGCUGCGGGUCGCAAAUGCACGGGCAGUUUCAAUAUAGAACUUGAGGCGCCCUUACCAGUGUUCUCGUAUUGGACCGGUAAGUUGCGAUUAUUUGGAAGUUUUUCAAAAACGGGGAAGUGCUGAUACGGUGUUUGACAACUUCGCGAGGCUUCCGGGUGACCAGUUGUCAACAGACGUGUAGGAGUGCAGAAGCCAACGAAAGAUUUUUUCGUAUCUGAUGAGCUCCUCCGUCGUUCCGCUGGUGGUAAGAUGGCUGUGCAGCUGGAUGGAGGAGGGAAGGAGGACUUGAAAACACAGUUUGUCACGCGGGAAGGAACAUACAAGCUAAUGACUUUGUCGGAGUAUUCGAGGCCAAACAGGGUCGGCUAUACGAACAGUCAAGGAAGUGCAUCCGUUAGGGUGUCUUUCGUAACUUUACCGGACCCAGCGGACCCCACGGGUACGCAAGGUCUCGGCGACCGAAUGUGUUUCAACUUUGGCAAGGAGCUCUAUGUUUACGUAUACCGGGGCGUUAAAAAGGCUGUGGAUUUGAAUAAGCCAUUGGAUAAAAAAUUAUAUAAAGGAACUAAUCCAACUUGCCACAAUUUUAACCAAACAACAGCAACUGCAGAUAGUGCACCAUUAUUAGUUGGUUUCUCUACGGGACAAAUUCAAUUGAUAGAUCCAAUAAAAAAGGAGUUGAACAAAUUAUACAAUGAAGAUAGAUUGAUAGAUAAGAGCAAAGUAACAUGUAUAAAAUGGGUUCCUGGCUCCAAUAACCUCUUCUUAGUAUCGCAUAGUUCUGGACAACUAUAUUUAUACAAUGAAGAACUCUUGUGCGGUACAACAGCUCCUCAUUAUCAAUCCUUCAAAUCAGGAGAUGGUUAUGCCAUAUAUACUUGCAAGACAAAGUCUACAAGGAACCCAUUGUAUCGAUGGGUCAUAGGUGCAGAAGGAUGUUGCAUAAAUGAAUUUGCCUUUAGUCCAUGUGGCUCCAAUCUAGCUGUAGUUUCCCAAGACGGAUUUCUACGUGUAUUCCAAUAUAACACAAUGGAAUUAGUGGGUUCAGCUAGAAGUUAUUUUGGUGGGUUCCUGUGUGUAUGUUGGUCACCGGAUGGAAGAUAUGUUGUUGUUGGAGGUGAAGAUGAUCUUGUGACAAUUUGGAGCUUUCAUGAGAAAAGAGUGGUAGCACGAGGUCAGGGUCAUCAUAGCUGGGUAAGCGUAGUAGCUUUUGAUCCCUACACUACAUCUUAUGGAGAUCAUGAUCCUGACUUCAGUGGUUCAGAUGAUGAAACAUUACCACACAAUAAUCAUAAUCACUUCCGUGAAAAAUCUAAUCGUCUGUCCACGACCUCACAAGGAGUUCAUUCGAAUAGAAACUCUUGUGGAUCAGAGUUACGAGUGUCAGGUGGUACAUGCUACAGGCUAGGUAGCGUGUCACAGGAUACUCAACUGUGUUUGUGGGAUAUUACUGAAGAUGUGUUGAGACAACCAAUGUGCGCAAAGCAGAGGCCCUCUGUAGCAGGUUCCGGUACUCUUUCUACAUCAGGAGCAAUCAACAGCGGGAAUGGUUCAACGGCGAAUCAUCAAUUGAACAAUUCUAAACACAACAAUUUGAAUAAUGUUAAUUACAAAGAAAAUGUGAGUGGUAAUAAUGAAAGUAGUAACAAUAGCACAAGUACAAAUACUACGGUGUCAACUGUAAAUUCAUUGACACAAAGGUUAGCAGGUCUUGGUUUUGGUGAACGUAAAGGUGAUAAUCAUAAAAGAAACUUUAGCCUCACAAUGAGAGGUAGUGGUGCAUCUAAUAGCACAAUAAUGCAAAAUAGUGGUGGCGAUAAAGCUACCACUAACUCAAAUACAAGUAGUAAUAUGAACAGUGUCAGUGGAAGUUUAGUAGGUGCAAAUAAAAAGGUUAGUUCUGUGAUGGACGAUUCAAUGAGGUUAAUAGGAACUGCCCGGUGCCCUAGGUUUGAUGAGUGCCCAGUAUUAGAACCACUGGUGUGCAAGAAGUUGGCGCAUGAAAGAUUGACUGAAUUAGUGUUUAGGGAAGAUUGCUUCGUAACAGCGUGUCAAGAUGGAUAUGUCUACACAUGGGCAAGGCCUGGUCACAUGUGAGAGUUUUAUAAUUUUAUCGGAAGAUGCUUGUGCUUGUUUCUUAAGCCAGUGGGGCAUUAUAUUUUUUACUUUGAUUGGAAAGAUUAAUGUUCUAUACCAUGCUUUGGCUGAUGCAAGAGAAUCAUGGAUGAGUCUUCCCAGAGUUAUCGCAUGCCAGGAGUGGGACAAGUUGGAAACGCUCUCCAUGUUGUCAGUCCAGUGGAGGGUGGAGGUACUAUAGUAUAGCCAGAACCAGAUAUCAAUAUACGUUCAAAGCAAGAAGAUGAAUACGUCCCGUCGUUACGUGUACUGCAGUCCUCAAAAAUGCAGUUUCCAUAUACCCAUUAUCGUCACUUAUAUUAUGUAUGGCCAAGUGAAAGUUAUUCCAGUACUGUUUAAAAGUUGGAUAAUCAAAGAAUUAUCAUAAAGGCAUCUAAUAGCUUAAUGCUUAAAGACACAUUUUUAUUUCAUAAGUCGAUUCUGGUGCAUACAUUUAUUCUUGCUUUCUAUUUUCGUUUCGUUUACACAUGGAAAGCAUUUAAAUUUCAUAGUCUUACACUUAUUUUAUAAGAAAAUUCAGAGAAAGUAAUAAAUAAAUUGUGUAUACAUGUAUAUAUGUAUACAUAGAUACAUUUGAUCUUGUAUGCUGUACACUAUAUCAUUCCAAUAAGGUCCUGUUAAGUGAAAGAUCUGAAUCGAAUGAAGUUAAUAUUAAGUGCUUAUGUAUAUGAUUAAGAACUUUUGUAUUAUUAAGAUUUAAUUACAGUUGUUUAAAGACUUGAUUUCAAGCGACAUGCUUUUGCAACAUACAUUAACGAGAAAUGCAACCGCUGUAAUCAGUCAGAAGAAUGUAUAAAUAUGAAAUAUUUUAAACAGUAUUCCGAUUUGCAUACUCGUUACUACUAAUUGUUUAAUCUUGAAUAGCAAUUCACGCGGAAAAAGUGAACUAAAACAAUUUUUUAAAGAGAAUUCACGUUAAAUGUUUCAUUCUUAAAGUUUUAUUAGUAUUAUUUUUCUAUGUUGUUAAUUAUAAAUAUUUGAUAUAUUUAAUGAAAACGUACGUUUAAUUGUUCCUUCGGUAUACUAUAUUUUCUGUUAAUAUAUUUCAGAAUCGUAGUCUCUUCGUUUUAACUAAAUUGUCCUAAUAAAAAAAUUGUAAGUUAAUUCCAAGGACGGAAAUUUUUAUUUAUUUUAUUGCACAGUUGUUUAAAUGGUUUUCUAAGAAACUUGUUCGCUUUAUUGGAAAUCUAUAAUAAGUACAUUGAAGAUGUACAAUCAGUUGAGGACUUUAUAUAAAAUGUGACUUUAUAUCUGAGAGCUAGGAAAUGUUAUAUACGUUUUAAUAAUAAACGAUUAAUGAAAUUUUUCAAUGGAACGUGCAAGUUACACGAUCACUAAGUAACUUAUGCGCUUGGCAUAAGACGGACAUCGUAGUUUUCAAUAAAAUUUCUUAAUCUAACGAUAACGAAUGAUCUUUACAUUGAAUAAAAGAGAUAUAUUGAAUUCUUCUGUUAUUUAGACAUGGUUCUCAGAUACAGAAGUCUAUGUAUUGUAAAGUAUGAAUGUAUAAACAAACGAUUAUCGGGUAUUCUGAUAAUAGACAGUAUUUCAAACGGAAUAUUCCACACGGCGAUACUAUUUAUUAAUUUAUAUAAAUCUAUAUGUAACGCAACAUGUAAGAGCAACUUUGCAUUGUUAUAAUUUACUGGAAAUGAUUUGAGAACAAUGGCAAAUUUUUCACCUCUUUUUAUAGGCAUUUUUUCAGAAAUGUUUUAAAAAGGAAAUGCAGAUGAAUUGAGUUCAUACGUUAUAAUGUAAAACGCUAACCGAGUUAGCUUAUAUAACUUACACAAUUAAGAAUGAGUUAAGCAGUGUUUCCUAGACAAUAAUAUUCGUCACGGCUUUAAUUGCGAAGAAUGUUCAAGAAUAUUUUAAUACCGCUAAAAAGCAACACAAUCAAUUCUAUUCAUAUUUCCAUUACGGGAAACCAUUGUCAGAGCAAU